UACGUAGGGGGCUAGCGUUGUCCGGAUUUAUUGGGCGUAAAGAGCUCGUAGGCGGUUUGUCGCGUCUGCUGUGAAAACCUAAGGCUCAACCUUGGGCUUGCAGUGGGUACGGGCAGACUAGAGUGCGGUAGGGGUGACUGGAAUUCCUGGUGUAGCGGUGGAAUGCGCAGAUAUCAGGAGGAACACCGAUGGGGAAGGCAGGGCACUGGGCCGCAACUGACGCUGAGGAGCGAAAGCGUGGGGAGCAAACAGG
This 253-nucleotide ribosomal RNA is filed under the name uncultured bacterium. RNAcentral's name for it is "partial 16S ribosomal RNA". It matches the Rfam family "Bacterial small subunit ribosomal RNA", at positions 524 to 776 of the family's 1533-position model. The record is from RNAcentral.